This 478-nucleotide ribosomal RNA is filed under the name uncultured bacterium. Its description in RNAcentral is "partial 16S ribosomal RNA". It matches the Rfam family "Bacterial small subunit ribosomal RNA", at positions 28 to 523 of the family's 1533-position model. The record is from RNAcentral.
GACGAACGCUGGCGGCGUGCUUAACACAUGCAAGUCGAACGGUAAGGCCCUUCGGGGUACACGAGUGGCGAACGGGUGAGUAACACGUGGGUGAUCUGCCCUGCACUUCGGGAUAAGCCUGGGAAACUGGGUCUAAUACCGGAUAGGACUCCUGGCUUCAUGGUUGGGGGUGGAAAGCUUUUGCGGUGUGGGAUGGGCCCGCGGCCUAUCAGCUUGUUGGUGGGGUAAUGGCCUACCAAGGCGACGACGGGUAGCCGGCCUGAGAGGGUGACCGGUCACACUGGGGCUGAGGGACGGCCCAGACUCCUACGGGAGGCAGCAGUGGGGAAUAUUGCACAAUGGGCGCAAGCCUGAUGCAGCAACGCCGCGUGAGGGAUGACGGCCUUCGGGUUGUAAACCUCUUUCAGCUAUGACGAAGCGCAAGUGACGGUAGUAGCAGAAGAAGGACCGGCCAACUACGUGCCAGCCGCCGCAGUAA